RNAcentral lists this microRNA precursor (95 nucleotides) under Bigelowiella natans CCMP2755. RNAcentral's name for it is "miRNA EPrBNAG00000013583". It matches the Rfam family "mir-598 microRNA precursor family". Lineage: Eukaryota; Cercozoa; Chlorarachniophyceae. The record is from RNAcentral.
UGGCGACGACGACGAUGAUAAUGAUGAUGAUGAUGAUGAUAGCAUCAGUAUUAUUCAUUUUAUCAUCAUCAUCAUCAUCAUCAUCAUCAUCAUCU